This 21-nucleotide non-coding RNA is filed under the name Caenorhabditis elegans. The record is from RNAcentral. Lineage: Eukaryota; Metazoa; Nematoda; Chromadorea; Rhabditida; Rhabditidae.
UGUCUCAAAAAUGAUUUCAGG